This 635-nucleotide long non-coding RNA is filed under the name Homo sapiens (human). RNAcentral describes it as "PCBP1 antisense RNA 1". The record is from RNAcentral. Lineage: Eukaryota; Metazoa; Chordata; Mammalia; Primates; Hominidae.
GAACACAAAAUGGCGACACGUGGUUAGCAUUCGUCGCCAACGAGAAAUUGGGGUCGGCCCGAAAGCUCUAGAAUGCACCCCUCUUCCUCCCCGGGGCCUUCCACCUCCGCGAGUUUUAUGACUUAAAAAAGCCCACAGGCUGGUCUGAAGAGGAAGACAAACAUAAAGAUGAAGUGCUUAAUUCAAGGUCACACAAUGUCGGGGAUGGACCUCCAGAUUUCCUUACUGGUCACAGAAUUUUCCACACUCCUUGACAGAGGUGCUUAACCCUUAUCCAUCAGCAUUCUCAGACAGCACCUCCGGUUAGGGACAGUAUCUGACCGUCCGACAUCCCUGCAGCCCCCAUGUGUCACACAGACUCAGCCUCAGGUAGAUGGUUUCCGUAGAUGGUGGCUUUCUUUGGACCCUUGACAUCAACCAGUUACUAUUUGGGGACCAGAUGUGCAGAGGUAAUGAAUACCAGGGAAUCAGGAAACCACUGGAUCAGUUCUUUGAGCCACAGAACAACACUCAUCCCAGCAGCUGGGAAGCUAUCUGCAAAAGUCCAUCUGCAGAAAGGGCUUCCUGGUCUUGCGUGUGGCUGGGCCAUUUCUCUGGAUGCAGGUUUUUCAUUAUACAGUCUUCUCAAAGAACCA